Molecule: non-coding RNA, 45 nt
Organism: Schistosoma margrebowiei
Lineage: Eukaryota; Metazoa; Platyhelminthes; Trematoda; Strigeidida; Schistosomatidae
Source: Rfam
AUCCAACUGACUAGUCUCAAAUAGGAAGAAAUGCACAUCCUGGAU